This 240-nucleotide unclassified non-coding RNA is filed under the name soil metagenome. RNAcentral's name for it is "partial contains 5.8S ribosomal RNA, internal transcribed spacer 2, and large subunit ribosomal RNA". The record is from RNAcentral.
AACCAUAGAAACCUGCGGAGUACCUGCGGAAGGAUCAUUAUAGUAUAUGGAAUCUCCAUUCUAUAAACCCACUCUGCGUAUCUUGUAACUGUUGCUUCCAUGGGACUUGGUUCCGCCACACCGGCUUCACGGCUGGUGAGCGCCCAUGGAAGGAGAAACAAAACUCUUCUUUGAAAUGUAGUCGGUCUGAACAAGUUUUUAUAAACGUUAAAACUUUUAGCAAUGGAUCUCAGAUCGGAA